GACGAACGCUGGCGGCGUGCUUAACACAUGCAAGUCGAGCGGUAAGGCCCUUUCGGGGGUACACGAGCGGCGAACGGGUGAGUAACACGUGGGUGACCUGCCUUUAGCUCUGGGAUAAGCCUGGGAAACUGGGUCUAAUACCGGAUAUGACUCCGCGGUGCAUGCUGUGGGGUGGAAAGCCUUGUGCGGCUGGAGAUGGGCCCGCGGCCUAUCAGCUUGUUGGUGGGGUGAUGGCCACCAAGGCGACGACGGGUAGCCGGCCUGAGAGGGCGACCGGCCACACUGGGACUGAGACACGGCCCAGACUCUUACGGGAGGCAGCAGUGGGGAAUCUUGCGCAAUGGGCGAAAGCCUGACGCAGCGACGCCGCGUGAGGGAUGACGGCCU
Molecule: ribosomal RNA, 387 nt
Filed under: uncultured bacterium
Lineage: Bacteria
Description: bacterial SSU rRNA
Rfam family: Bacterial small subunit ribosomal RNA
Source: RNAcentral